RNAcentral lists this ribosomal RNA (441 nucleotides) under uncultured bacterium. RNAcentral's name for it is "partial 16S ribosomal RNA". It matches the Rfam family "Bacterial small subunit ribosomal RNA", at positions 338 to 795 of the family's 1533-position model. The record is from RNAcentral.
CCUACGGGUGGCAGCAGUGGGGAAUAUUGCACAAUGGGGGAAACCCUGAUGCAGCAACGCCGCGUGAGUGAAGAAGUAUUUCGGUAUGUAAAGCUCUAUUAGCAGGGAAGAAGAUAGACGGUACCUGACUAAGAAGCCCCGGCUAACUACGUGCCAGCAGCCGCGGUAAUACGUAGGGGUCAAGCGUUAUCCGGAUUUACUGGGGGUAAAGGGAGCGUAGACGGCUGUACAAGUCUGAAGUGAAAGCCCGGGGCUCAACCGCGGAACUGCUUUGGAAACCGUCUAGCUAGAGUAUUGGUGAGGCAGGCGGAAUUCCUGGUGUAGCGGUGAAAUGCGUAGAUAUUAGGAGGAACACCAGUGGCGAAGGCGGCCUGCUGGACAGAAACUGACGUUGAGGCUCGAAAGCGUGGGGAGCAAACAGGAUUAGAUACCCCUGUAGUC